GACGAACGCUGGCGGCGUGCUUAACACAUGCAAGUCGAACGGCAAGGCCCUGCUUUUGUGGGGUGCUCGAGUGGCGAACGGGUGAGUAACACGUGAGUAACCUGCCCUUGCCUUUGGGAUAACUUCAGGAAACUGGGGCUAAUACCGGAUAUGAGCUCCUGCUGCAUGGUGGGGGUUGGAAAGUUUCGGCGGUUGGGGAUGGACUCGCGGCUUAUCAGCUUGUUGGUGGGGUAGUGGCUUACCAAGGCUUUGACGGGUAGCCGGCCUGAGAGGGUGACCGGCCACAUUGGGACUGAGAUACGGCCCAGACUCCUACGGGAGGCAGCAGUGGGGAAUAUUGCACAAUGGGCGGAAGCCUGAUGCAGCAACGCCGCGUGCGGGAUGACGGCCUUCGGGUUGUAAACCGCUUUCGCCUGUGACGAAGCGUGAGUGACGGUAAUGGGUAAAGAAGCACCGGCUAACUACGUG
Molecule: ribosomal RNA, 468 nt
Filed under: uncultured bacterium
Lineage: Bacteria
Description: partial 16S ribosomal RNA
Rfam family: Bacterial small subunit ribosomal RNA
Source: RNAcentral